GAUGAACGCUGGCGGCGUGCCUAAUACAUGCCAGUCGAGCGAACAGACGAGGAGCUUGCUCCUUUGACGUUAGCGGCGGACGGGUGAGUAACACGUGGAUAACCUACCUAUAAGACUGGGAUAACUUCGGGAAACCGGAGCUAAUACCGGAUAACAUGUUGAACCGCAUGGUUCAACAGUGAAAGACGGUCUUGCUGUCACUUAUAGAUGGAUCCGCGCCGCAUUAGCUAGUUGGUAAGGUAACGGCUUACCAAGGCAACGAUGCGUAGCCGACCUGAGAGGGUGAUCGGCCGCACUGGAACUGAGACACGGUCCAGACUCCUACGGGAGGCAGCAGUAGGGAAUCUUCCGCAAUGGGCGAAAGCCUGACGGAGCAACGCCGCGUGAGUGAAGAAGGUCUUCGGAUCGUAAAACUCUGUUAUUAGGGAAGAACAAAUGUGUAAGUAACUAUGCACGUCUUGACGGUACCUAAUCAGAAAGCCACGGCUAACUACGUG
Molecule: ribosomal RNA, 497 nt
Filed under: uncultured bacterium
Lineage: Bacteria
Description: partial 16S ribosomal RNA
Rfam family: Bacterial small subunit ribosomal RNA
Source: RNAcentral